RNAcentral lists this long non-coding RNA (1006 nucleotides) under Anas platyrhynchos platyrhynchos (common mallard). RNAcentral describes it as "lncRNA (ENSAPLG00000026386.1)". The record is from RNAcentral. Lineage: Eukaryota; Metazoa; Chordata; Aves; Anseriformes; Anatidae.
CAAAGUUCCUGAUCUUUUAGCUGUCAGCCGCAGGUAUGUGAAAGUCCUGACAGGCUGGAGAUAGAAGGAAGAGAUAAAGCAAAAGAGGAGAAAAGAAAACGGAGAAAUUCUCUGAAUGAAAUGUUAUAUCGUUGCAUUUGGCGCAGAGAUUUCAGUGUGAGGGGUCUGCAGGGCUAGCAGAGGUGUGAGCGAGGCCCAGGGCUUUUGCCUUUCCAAAUGAGCGAGCAGCAGCUGGUACCGAGCAGCCAAGGACAGAUGCUGCUCUUAGUUACACCCGUGGAUAAAGCGAGCAGGGGAACAGAGAGCAGAAUAAGGCUAAAUCACACUCAGACAUCUUUCCAGUGAGUGCAGUCAGUUCUAGGCCGUGCGACACUGGGGGGGUGGAACUGUUUUUAGCAAACAGUAGCUGGCACAUUGCAAUUAGCACCUUGCAGCUGCUGUCAGGUGAGAUCCUGAUGGUAAUUAGGGAGAUUGCCUAAUUGAGAUGGGGAGGGAAGCACUGAAGAAGAGGAGGGCAGGGAGCAAGGCUCCUUGUUCCUUGUGGGAAGGCUGUGCUUAGUGCUACCAGGCCCCGGUGCUGCCCUGCACUGGACCAGGGGUGACAAGGAUGAGCUGGUCUCGUUCUUCCCAGCUCCUGGUGCUGUGCUGGUGGCUGGGUUUGCAUGGAGCCUGUACGUGACCUGUUGCUCAGCUUCUGAAUGUGUGCUCGGAGGGUUUGUCACUGCUCAGCUGAUGCACAGCAGCUUGCAAGCAGAGGGAGCUGCACUGUGAGUCUGUCCUUGGCAUCCGAGCUGCCCCUCGCACUCAUCUUGGGUGAAUGACUUUGUUCUGCUGAGGUAUUCCUCUUCUGCCUGCAGUGAGCACACCUCUCCUGAGUUUGGUCUGCCCACAGGUGGUCCCAGAAGAGGGCAAAGAAAGGGAGAGGAAUGGGUGAGCUCUUCCUAACCCAGGCUAAUAGCACAUCUGCACCACAAGCCUGACUCGGGCUCAGGCUCAGGUCUGCUAU